GAUGAACGCUGGCGGCGUGCCUAAUACAUGCAAGUCGAGCGAACGGACGAGAAGCUUGCUUCUCUGAUGUUAGCGGCGGACGGGUGAGUAACACGUGGAUAACCUACCUAUAAGACGGGGAUAACUUCGGGAAACCGGACCUAAUACCGGAUAAUAUUUUGAACCGCAUGGUUCAAAAGUGAAAGACGGUCUUGCUGUCACUUAUAGAUGGAUCCGCGUUGCAUUAGCUAGUUGGUAAGUUAACGGCUUACCAAGGCAACGAUGCAUAGCCGACCUGAGAGGGUGAUCGGCCACACUGGAACUGAGACACGGUCCAGACUCCUACGGGAGGCAGCAGUAGGGAAUCUUCCGCAAUGGGCGAAAGCCUGACGGAGCAACGCCGCGUGAGUGAUGAAGGUCUUCGGAUCGUAAAACUCUGUUAUUAGGGAAGAACAUAUGUGUAAGUAACUGUGCACAUCUUGACGGUACCUAAUCAGAAAGCCACGGCUAACUACGUG
Molecule: ribosomal RNA, 497 nt
Filed under: uncultured bacterium
Lineage: Bacteria
Description: partial 16S ribosomal RNA
Rfam family: Bacterial small subunit ribosomal RNA
Source: RNAcentral